Molecule: ribosomal RNA, 434 nt
Filed under: uncultured bacterium
Lineage: Bacteria
Description: partial 16S ribosomal RNA
Rfam family: Bacterial small subunit ribosomal RNA
Source: RNAcentral
AGCGAACGCUGGCGGCAGGCCUAACACAUGCAAGUCGAACGAACCUUUCGGGGUUAGUGGCGGACGGGUGAGUAACACGUGGGAACGUGCCUUUAGGUUCGGAAUAACUCAGGGAAACUUGUGCUAAUACCGAAUGUGCCCUUCGGGGGAAAGAUUAAUCGCCUUUAGAGCGGCCCGCGUCUGAUUAGCUAGUUGGUUGAGGUAAUGGCUCACCAAGGCGACGAUCAGUAGCUGGUCUGAGAGGAUGAUCAGCCACAUUGGGACUGAGACACGGCCCAAACUCCUACGGGAGGCAGCAGUGGGGAAUCUUGCGCAAUGGGCGAAAGCCUGACGCAGCCAUGCCGCGUGAAUGAUGAAGGUCUUAGGAUUGUAAAAUUCUUUCACCGGGGACGAUAAUGACGGUACCCGGAGAACAAGCCCCGGCUAACUUCGUG